RNAcentral lists this transfer RNA (77 nucleotides) under Chloroflexota bacterium. RNAcentral's name for it is "tRNA-Pro". It matches the Rfam family "tRNA". Rfam says of the family: Transfer RNA (tRNA) molecules are approximately 80 nucleotides in length. The record is from RNAcentral. Lineage: Bacteria; Bacillati; Chloroflexota.
CGGGGCGUGGCGCAGCUUGGUAGCGCGUGUCGUUCGGGACGACAAGGCCGGAGGUUCAAAUCCUCUCGCCCCGACCA